This 269-nucleotide unclassified non-coding RNA is filed under the name Slopeiomyces cylindrosporus. RNAcentral describes it as "sequence contains 5.8S rRNA gene". The stretch from base 1 to 53 matches the Rfam family "5.8S ribosomal RNA", at positions 102 to 154 of the family's 154-position model. Lineage: Eukaryota; Fungi; Ascomycota; Sordariomycetes; Magnaporthales; Magnaporthaceae. The record is from RNAcentral.
GAACGCACAUUGCGCCCGCCGGUAUUCCGGCGGGCAUGCCUGUUCGAGCGUCAUUUCACCACUCAAGCCCAGCUUGGUGUUGGGGCACCCGGCCGCCCAGCGGCCCCGGGGCCCCCAAGUCCAUCGGCGGGCUCGUCGGGACCCUGAGCGCAGUAACACGCGGUAAAACGCGCCCUCGCUCGGCGGAUCCCGUCGGGUUCCAGCCGCUAAACCCCCCUAAACUUCUUAGGUUGACCUCGGAUCAGGUAGGAAUACCCGCUGAACUUAAG